AUCGUGCCGAGCACCACCACUUCCUCUAGAAAUCUUAACAUACCUGUGGCAUGGGACUUCGGGUGAGAGGAUUGUCGAUUUCUACUGCCAGCCGCUGUCACUGCCGUCAUCUCCGGUAAGAUCCCCUCUUUCCUCUUUUCUUCCGAUCCAUGGGUUGCAGCCAUGGUUUAAGGGGCAGUGCUUUUUUUUCCUUUCUUCUUCU
RNAcentral lists this long non-coding RNA (202 nucleotides) under Elaeis guineensis (African oil palm). RNAcentral describes it as "long non-coding RNA (EGUI_LNC015979)". The record is from RNAcentral. Lineage: Eukaryota; Viridiplantae; Streptophyta; Magnoliopsida; Arecales; Arecaceae.